RNAcentral lists this long non-coding RNA (1778 nucleotides) under Citrus sinensis (sweet orange). Its description in RNAcentral is "long non-coding RNA (CSIN_LNC001865)". The record is from RNAcentral. Lineage: Eukaryota; Viridiplantae; Streptophyta; Magnoliopsida; Sapindales; Rutaceae.
GGCUGCACAAAAGGUUCAUUCAUGACAAAGAGCUUGUGUUGGAGAUACUGAUAAUGCUAAAUUGAGAGUUUUUUUUUUUUUUUACAGCAGCAACUUUUUUUUUUUUUUUUUGCUUGUGUUGGAGAUACUGAUAAUGCUAAAUUGAGAGUUCUUUAUUUUUUUUUGUUUUGGGGGGGGAAGCAAUAGAACAACUCAAAGAAAGAUGAUACCGAAUGGACAUUAGGACAAAUUGGAAACAGCACCAAAGAAGAGGUUACUGCACAAUCAGCUUUAGCAUUAUUGCAAGGCUUCUUCACUUAAGCAAAUGAUGAGGUAUCACUUGCAUAGAAAAUUAGAAAUAGAGUUAAGAUAACAUCGCCAGGCCCAGUAAAAGCAACAAAUACUCAAAAUGAUAUGAAAUACACUACUCAAAAAGCAUCUUGACCAUUACUAUGUCCAGGUGGGUUAAAAUCAGCCCUAAUCUCAGUGAUAAUGAUCCAUAGAGGCCCAGCCAACAGUCAGCUGUGUGCGAUGCCAGAGCGAUCCUCUAGCUGCAGGCAUGAAAAUGAACUAGAAACUUUUUGCCAUGUCCCUGAAACUACAUCUCCAUAAAAAGUAGCAUUGUUUCUAGUUUCAGUCUAGCAAAACUCUACUCUGAAAACAAGCGUCAAAACUAUGGAGAUUCAUUCCUAGCAAUUUUGAUCAAUUAGAUUAAGCAGAUGAAUAUGCCAAUUUCUGGUGGUAUACAUAGUCUUAUGCACUGCAAGUAUAUAUCUACAGAAAACUCUAUUAAUAAGCCAGAGCAAUAAAGUUAUUUGCAGCAGCAAAUUGGUUAUUGAGCCAGCCAAUAAGAGAUGGCAAAGUUGAAUUCCCCCAGAUAAAGAUUUAUCAUGGAAUUCAAUAGCAAAAACGUUGGGGGUGGUGGGGGGGCGCAAAAAAAAAACACAUUCCAGUGAUAUCCUUGUAAAAACAAACAAUCAAAAAAAUUAAUUUUGACCAAGGAUCUUGAAGCAAGAACAAUAAUCAAAUAAAGAAAAAACUUAGUUUCGUUCAUACCAAGACAACUUCAGAGAGGAUAAGGACUUGCAUAUCUUCAAAUUGUGCUGGAAAUUAGAAAACCCAAAAAUAUCCUCACAAAAUACAGCAAAUAUUUGUUCAGCAUUCACAAAAUCGAAUUGAAAACGAAACACAGCCAAACGAACCAGCUCCAACAAUUUCAACACCGUUAUUACACAUUAACUGAGAUUUGAUUAUCCACAUGAAAGCCCUAAACGACAUAUAAAACGCAGCGUUUUUUUGUUGUUGUAAGAAAAGAAAAGAGGUAAAAGGAAUUGAUUAAUAUAACAAUUCAGAUACCAAAGGAAGGGCAGGCGAUGGAUCAAACGAUGUCGUCGGGAGCGUGGGAGUUGCUGGUGAGCGUAAGAGGGCGAUCCUUCGCCUCAUCCUCCUCGUCGUCGUCGGGAUCGGUUGUAGUGAGAUUGACGCAAGAGCAUCGUUCGAGGGACGCGAAGAAGGCGGAGACUACAGUGGCGCUCACCCAGCUUGCCACGUUGCCCAAGCUGUCUCGCGAUAUUAUGCUGUUACUGGGGUUGUUAUCUUCCAUUACGAAUUAGAUUUUAGAAUUUUGUGAGAUAUGAAAAUGAAAAUUGGGUAUUUGCUUUUUGAUUUGGGAUUUGGAUGAAUUGUUUGGAAUUGCGGAUAAAAUAAGAACGGACCCAAUUGUCAGAGACUUGGAAUUAGACCCUGAGAUUUGAGAUUUCAUUAUUUAUAUAUAUAUAUAGAUUUUAGGUAACUCUCCC